CCGGACAUUAUUACGAAGAAACCUAAAGUCCAUUAUCUCUGCCAUAUCGUGCGAGACGUGAUUAGGUUUGGUCCAGUUCUCCAUCAGGCUACAGAACGACAUGAGAAGUUCAAUAUCGUGGCUGCACCAUCCGUGGAAAUGGGCAAGCUAAUAGUCAUGAUGUGGCGGCUUGGUUUGCUCAUACUGGAACAUGUGCCCAUUUGGUAACUGGUGGUCUUUUUGCCACCGAAACCAGUAUAUGGAAAGCAAGUAAUAACGUCCUAGAGCUACAACAAGAUCACGGCCUUUGCACUUACCUCGGCUGGUCUGUUCCUAGAAAACUGCUACGGUCUAUUAUUUAUUUAUUCAUUUAUUCAGAUCCUGUGGUGGAGAGGACUCGAGUGAAGAGGAGAUAUAUAUAUAAUUGAAUCCUUUUAGCUGGUUUCCUUUUUAUUUAGAAAUCUCUCAAUGCAAGUCCGGGAGAUUACGCUCUCUAGGAUCAACAAU
RNAcentral lists this small RNA (486 nucleotides) under Cryptococcus neoformans H99. RNAcentral's name for it is "Cryptococcus neoformans var. grubii H99 hypothetical RNA". Lineage: Eukaryota; Fungi; Basidiomycota; Tremellomycetes; Tremellales; Cryptococcaceae. The record is from RNAcentral.